UCCCAAGUAGUGCGGAGCACGUGCAAUUCCGUAUGAAUCAGGGCCGACCACGGUCCAAGGCUAAAUACAUCUGGCGACCGAUAGCGAAUGAGUACCGAGAGGGAAAGGUGAAAAGCACCCCUGGCGGGGAGUGAAAUAGACCUGAAACCGCGUGCCUACAAGCAAUCGGAGCGGCAUUAUGCCGUGACGGUGUGCCUCUUGGAAAAUGAGCCGUCGAGUUAUGGUGUGUGGCGAGGUUAAGCGCUAUAAGGCGUGAAGCCGUAGGGAAACCGAGUCUGAAUAGGGCGUAAGUCGCAUGCUAUAGACCCGAAGCCGUACGAUCUAUCCAUGUCCAGGUUGAAGGUCGGGUGAAACCGACUGGAGGACCGAACCGUAGACUGUUGAAAAAGUCCCGGAUGAGGUGUGGAUAGGAGUGAAAAGCUAAUCGAGUGCGGUGAUAGCUGGUUCUCCCCGAAAUGCAUUGAGGUGCAGCCUGUGGAAGUAAGUGAUGGGGGUAGAGCACUGAAUGGGCAAGGGGAUCGCAAGAUCUACCGAGUUCAAUCAAACUCCGAAUACCAUGACUGUAAUCCAUGGAGUGAGACUACGGGUGCGAAGAUCCGUGGUCGAAAGGGCAACAGCCCAGCCCGACAGCUAAGGUCCCAAAUCGUAUGCUAAGUGUUACAAGGAUGUGGGGAAGCCCAGACAGCCAGGAAGUUGGCUUAGAAGCAGCCACCCUUGAAAGAGUGCGUAACAGCUCACUGGUCGAGCGUCCCCGCGCCAAAAAUGUAGGGGGCUAAGCAUACAACCGAAGCUUCGGGAAUAGACAAUAGUCUGUUCGGUAGGGGAGCGUUGUGUACGGGGCGAAGUCGUGUUGUGAAGCACGGUGGACUGUACAGAAGCGAGAAUGACGGCAUGAGUAGCGAGAAGCAGGAGAGAAACCUGCUCGCCGAAAACCCAAGGAUUCCUGGGGAAGGUUCAUCCACCCAGGGUUAGGCGGGACCUAAGGGGAAGCCGAGAGGCGUACUCGAUGGAGACAAUCCAGUCCCGACCAAGUGUGUUUGACUGAAGGAGUGACGCAGAAAGCUAUGCACGCCGGGUGAUGGUCGUCCCGGUCCAAGGACGUAGGCAGGGGAGUGAGGCAAAUCCCAUUCUCUGUUAAUUUAAUGCCGAGAUCUGAUGGGGUUCGCGAAUGAGUGAUGAAGGUGCAAAUGCUCGGCUGCCGAGAAAAGCUUCUAGGGAAUACUUGGUUGCCCGUACUUUAAACCGACGCAGGUGGGUAGGCUUAGAAGGCCAAGGCGGACGGGAUAACUCUCGUUAAGGAACUCUGCAAGUUAACUCCGUAACUUCGGGAGAAGGAGUGGCUUGGGACGUGAAAACUUUUACAGAUGUAGCGUUUCAGGCUCGCAGAAACCAGGCUCAGGCGACUGUUUAACUAAAACACAGGACUCUGCUGAAGACGUAAGUCGACGUAUAGGGUCUGACACCUGCCCGGUGCUGGAAGGUUAAGGGGAGAGGUUAGUCGCAAGGCGAAGCUUUGAACUGAAGCCAAACGGCGGCCGUAACUAUAACGGUCCUAAGGUAGCGAAAUUCCUUGUCGGGUAAGUUCCGACCUGCACGAAUGGUGUAACGAUCUGAGCGCUGUCUCGACGAGAGACCCGGUGAAAUUGUGGUACUGGUAAAGACGCCAGUUACCCGUAGUAGGACGGAAAGACCCCGUGGAGCUUUACUGUAGCUUGAUAUUGGACUUCGGUACACUCUGUACAGAAUAGGUGGGAGUCUUUGAAGCAUGGGCGCCAGCUUAUGCGGAGACGCCGUUGGGAUACCACCCUUGGUGUGCUGGGGUUCUAACCGCAAUAAGAAGUUGCGGGACACUGUCAGGUGGGCAGUUUGACUGGGGCGGUCGCCUCCCAAAGAGUAACGGAGGCGCGCGAAGGUCACCUCAUGACGAAUGGAAAUCGUCAAUUGAGCGUAAGGGUAUAAGGUGGCUUGACUGCGAGAGAGACAUUUCGAGCAGGAACGAAAGUUGGUCCUAGUGAUCCGGUGGUCCUGAGUGGAAAGGCCAUCGCUCAUCGGAUAAAAGCUACCCCGGGGAUAACAGGCUGAUGCCGCCCGAGAGUUCCCAUCGACGGCGGCGUUUGGCACCUCGAUGUCGGCUCAUCGCAUCCUGGGGCUGAAGCAGGUCCCAAGGGUUGGUCUGUUCGCCCAUUAAAGCGGUACGUGAGCUGGGUUCAGAACGUCGUGAGACAGUUCGGUCCCUAUCCACUACGGGCGCAGGGUAUUUGAGGGGAUCUGUCCCUAGUACGAGAGGACCGGGAUGGACGGACCGCUAGUGUACCGGUUGUACUGCCAAGUGCAUAAGCCGGGUAGCCAUGUUCGGAUCGGAUAACCGCUGAAGGCAUCUAAGCGGGAAGCCGGCCCCAAGAUGAGAUACCCCACUGCGUAAGCAGAUAAGGUGU
Molecule: ribosomal RNA, 2435 nt
Filed under: termite gut metagenome
Description: bacterial LSU rRNA
Rfam family: Bacterial large subunit ribosomal RNA
Source: RNAcentral